Galendromus occidentalis (western predatory mite) is the source of this 556-nucleotide long non-coding RNA. RefSeq lists it as uncharacterized. NCBI's taxonomy places the organism in Eukaryota, Metazoa, Arthropoda, Arachnida, Mesostigmata, Phytoseiidae. The transcript is spliced from 3 exons. The record is from RefSeq and is a predicted model, not a curated record.
GUAUCAGGAGAGAUCCCAGAGUCGGGACCGUCCCUGAUCGACACCACAUGUUCCCAAAUUGAGCGAGGGAGCUCAGCUCUUCGAAUUUCCGCGCCUCAGGGGAACGAUAACCGCGGGAUUCUCCGGUGUAUGUCGGAAGGAUUAUCCUUUGGUGCACUUCCUGAAUUCCACCUUCGAAAUGACGUUGACCUCAUCACAGAAGAGCCGAAUGAACACCGAGCUCGUUGAGGAAACUUCAGACUGCUUGAUGAGGAUUCUGCACAGAGUUGUCGCCGACCAGGCGGAUCAGGGGCUCUCUGAGGAAAUCUACGAUCUGGAUCAGAACAUACUGUCGCUGCAGAGUCUCGGAGCCGUGUAUGCCUCGGAGAAGAGGAACCGAAUAUCCGAGCAAGAGGCCUCGAGACGAGUGUACAAAGCUGUCAGCGAAAUGUACAACCAGAAACACGCGUCGAACUGAAGUUUUUCGAAGGAUCUUGGAGGGCAACUCGGCUCAUUCAUCGUAUCCUUAUGUUCGUACCUGUAUCGUUCAUAGAGUAUCUCGUACCUGAUUCCCCUG